CGGGUGGUCAAUAUAAAAGGUAGUUGACGAUUCAAGAGAUUGAUUCAGAAUGACAUGUUGUUCUGCAGGCUCCUAUUUAUGUCUUUUGGCACUUACUAUGACGUUAGAGUAAACAUCUAAUCGUCCAAUCAAAAGCAACGUUUCUUACGUCUUUUGGCUUGAAACGUUCAAGACGACAAUCAGAUUUCGUUAUUCUUAAAUAAAGAAACAAUAUUAAGUUGUCCUCACUUUGUCCUUCUUGUCCGAAUUAUGUUUAAAAGCAAAUAAAACUAAAAGGACAUUUCUAC
This 287-nucleotide long non-coding RNA is filed under the name Mytilus galloprovincialis (Mediterranean mussel). The record is from RNAcentral. Lineage: Eukaryota; Metazoa; Mollusca; Bivalvia; Mytilida; Mytilidae.